CAGUAGCCACGGGAAUACGAGGGGGGCAGGCGUUGUUCGGAUUUAUUGGGCGUAAAGCGCACGUAGGCGGCUUGGUAAGUUAGAGGUGAAAGCCUGGAGCUCAACUCCAGAAUUGCCUUUAAGACUGCCGAGCUAGCAGGUGAGAGAGGUAAGUGGAAUUCCGAGUGUAGAGGUGAAAUUCGUAGAUAUUCGGAAGGACACCAGUGGCGAAGGCGGCUUACUGGCUCAUACUGGACGCUGAGGUGCGAAAGCGUGGGGAGCAAACAGGAUUAGAUACCCCAGUAGUCCCUGUCUCUUAUAC
RNAcentral lists this ribosomal RNA (301 nucleotides) under uncultured bacterium. Its description in RNAcentral is "partial 16S ribosomal RNA". It matches the Rfam family "Bacterial small subunit ribosomal RNA", at positions 509 to 807 of the family's 1533-position model. The record is from RNAcentral.